UUCAACCAACUGACAGCUUUGAACUCUCCUGCUUAUUUACAGCAGCAACAACUACUACCAUUCAGCCAGCUAGCUGGUGUGAGCCCUGCUACCUUCUUGACACAACCACAAUUGUUGCCGUUCUACCAGCACGCUGCGCCUAACGCUGGCACCCUCUUACAACUGCAACAAUUGCUGCCAUUCAACCAACUUGCUUUGACAAACCCAACAGCAUUCUACCAACAACCCAUCAUUGGUGGUGCCCUCUUUUAGAUUUCUUAUGAGUUAUAGUUCAAUAAUAAAGUUUUUUGUCUGAUGUUUGUGGCUUCCCAGAAAUAAGAAAGUACAUUUCUAGAUUCUUAUGUGCUUCUAGUCUCCAAAUGUGGUUGAUAGUUAUUUUGCUCUAAGAUUAGCAGUAAUGAAGUAUAAAUCAUCGUUGUGGUGUGCUACUCGGUUAAUUGAGCAUUAACACACACAAACAUGACGAGGAUGGUAUAAUCUCCAAAAAUGUGUACUUUGUUAGGUGGGACCCUAUAGCCUUGCAGAAUGUGCUACGUUAGGCAUGCCAAUGGAAACGUGUGACACAUACGUUUUGUGAAUCUGUUGAUAUUAUAUGUGCUUUUAUAUUACCAUAUUUUAUUAAAAUACUAAUAUUUAUUACUAGUAAGAUAUAACAUUCUAUCUAGCUUAAAAACUAACCAUAAAUAUUCCAUAAUAACUAGAUUUACCAAACUAAUAUACUAAAUAUACAUAAUAAAUAUAAAAUUAACAAGACAAUAAUUAAUAUUUAUGAGCUUAAUUUAUUUAGACAUUAUGGUUGGUCGACGAUAAUCAUGCUAACUUUCCGUAAUUGCUUGAUUGUAAAUAUGCUUAGAAUAAUGCCUCUUUGUUCUACAUGGCAAAUAGGGACCAUUAUGGUGUAACACCCCGGGAUCCACAAACACCCCGAAAUGCUACUAAACUACACAACUAACCUUCAUAUAUAAAAUUUCGACAGCAUCUCCUUUGAAAAUUUGCAUAAACGUGGAAGCAACAGAGUAUAAACAGAUAUCAUGAUAAGGAAACAUACUAGACAUUAAUAAUCUGCUAGAAAUGGGAAGAUAACCAUAACGACAUAAACUGAAUUAACUAGUGUGCACAACUUGUUAAAAACAAACAUCGUUGACAAGAAGUUUCUAAUUAAAUCAUGGUUGUGCCUGGGCAGCGUUAUUAUGAGAGUGAAGGUGGACGUGAUGCUACUUCCCUCAUUCCCAACAUGAAUCAAGUACCUGCAUUGAGUAAUGCAAGAGUGAGAUGAAAACAUCUCAGCAAGUAAAUUGUUUUGACGAGAUAUUUAAACCAAAAAAAUUGAUUUAAUCAACAUUUUAAAGGGAUCACAAUUGAGAUCAGAAAUACUUGUAGAUAUAGAACUCAAUAGUCCCAAAAUAACCAAUGCCAUCUCAUUUCCUCAAACAACCACAAUAGGUUGUAUAACACUUCCCUGCGUCAUCAAUACCUGCAAAUAUCACUUCAAUGUAUGCAUAGGAAUGCAAUGUUUAAGUCCUCUGCAUUCAUACUUCUUAGAGUAUAAAACCACACCAUCUGCAAAUAUCACUUCAAUGAAUGCAUAUGAAUGCAAUGCAUAUGUCCUCUGCCUUCAUACCUCUAAGGGUAUGAAGCCGCAUCGUACCCCUCCUCGGGCAACGUACGAUGCUAAGUUGUACCGGUACGGUCGGACCAUAGGUCACGACAAAACUUCAGAUGCAAGUGAAUCAUGACAUGUAUAUGGCAUGCUGCAUUUAUCAAUAUACUUCACUUCCUUCAUAUACAAUACAAACCUAAAAUAAUACUUCGUUUACCUUCAGAUACAAUACAAACCUCAAAUAAUACUUCAUUCACCUUCAGGGGUGUUUAUUAAUCUCGUGGGUCAUACUCAAAUCAUCAUCAUCAUCAAUGAUGUUUAAGCAUCAGUAUAAUACAAUCAAGUAAAGCAUCACCAUAGAGUUCAAUUAUGAAAGAAUUCGAUGAUUCUGAAUAUUAGAGUGUAUGCGAUGAAACAACAAAGUCAAAACGGUAGCAACCACCUCUACAUUCACUUGCCUUCAUCGAAGAAGAAAAAGGUACUAGGCAUGAUUCGGAGUGUAGACACCUGCUGUGGGGCUUAAAACUUAGUACAAAUAUUCCAUAAACAUUUGCCAACAAUUAACAAAUCGCUCCUACACUUGAAACCAAGACCCGGUGGAAUGACUCCCACCCUGAACCACAUGCCAAACAACAAUAGUGUUGUUUGUUAAUUUCUAUCUUUAAAAUUAUAACAGUGGUGAUAUCAAACAAAUACUCUAUACGUUUCUACACAAAAUACUCUACAACUUCGGUAUUCAAUGGAUAAUUAAAUUUUGCCAUCUAUAAGUUCUAAAACAUCUGACAAGAUAACUGACUGAAUCUGUUUCAGACAACAGCAUAGUUAACUUCAAAAUUCGAUAUCUCCCUAACUCCUCAACAAAAAAUUAUGAAAUUAUGCUGACAGUAAGAACUUUUAUCCCUCUACAAAAGUCUCCAUAGUUGAAAGAGCCAAUUCGGCCAUUUACUAGAUGAAACCUACCAGUUAACGGACCCGCUCAUUUUUGUCAAGCAAACAAGAACCCUUAUAUAUCAAAGAGUAGUGGAUUUGAAUUUGUCUAAUAUGAAGUUUACGGGCUUGGCUCAUUUAAAGUAUUUAAUAAUUCUGAAAGACAAGAUUAAACUAACUAUGUAUGAUCCUUUAGCACCGUACAGAUGGUCGAUGGGACAGUUACAUGGUUUAUAUAGAUGGACCUAUCUAUAUUCCUUCAGUGGUUGAGAAAAAAGUAAAGGUGUGUCACACUCACGUGUGCGCCGCCUCCGCCGAGACGAGGCAUGGCGUUGCAAGGUGAGGCAUGGCAUGGUGUAGCACGAUAGCAGUCAUGGUCGUGGCACAGUGUAGCACUGUUGUGGAUAGAUAGGUAAACUAUUGUUGUAGUUAGAGUGCAUGAGUUUUUGAAUGCAACACUAGAAUUUUCACAAUUUAACUUAAUUAAGAAGUUAUAUCUUGAUGACACAGAGUUACCUGACCAUUGAUCUCACAUGCCCUUUUAGCUCUCUCGUUCUCUAGACUCACCCUGACUAUUUAAGUCUCUUGACUCGCCAAUAUAAACACCAUCCUAUCAUUUGCUCUAGAAUACUUCUGUGUCACAACUCAACUGUCAGAUGAGUACUCCAUUACAGCACUUACGUACACGAGUUCUAUGAGAGCAGGCCUCCAAAAUGAAUAUCUACUUAGAUGAAGGACGACAAUCGUGUUCUAGGGAAAUAUCAGCGACACAACUCCUUACUUCCUUCGCUUCUUCCUAGUGUUUUUUGUUGUGAUUGAGUCGACACAGCAACAACACUGCACUAUUACAACCAGUACGACUAUAUCAACUAGCAAUGUCUUCCUUAUAUGUUACUAUUUAUUUUGCACAUAUUCAUUAUGUUUAAAUCACAUAGGCACCUUUCUAUUGGCAUCAAAAAAUUAGUAUCAACUUUCUAGAUUAAAAUGAAACUAAAAGUACAUAAAUUUCUAUCGGUGGGGAUCGAGUGAUUCUUUAAACCGAUUAUUACACAAGUUAACCACACUAAAAUUAACAUUGGUGAAUCGUGCCAUGAUUUUUUUUCUAGUGGAAAAUAGCCAAACCAAGCAACACAUAUGUGGCUAUCGUUACACAUGUGUAAAGGUAUUGCAUCACACUAUUGUCACCCAUGUAUUUGGACAAUACCGAGAGGAAAAACCACUUAUUUAUUGUAUUUUAUCAAGUUUGUCUUGCUUACGUAUAAAAUUAUAACCCAACAAAGUAAUCACUAAACGUCAAAACCAACUAGAUAUCAUGUCAUCUCUACCUUAUCUUACUAAUAUUCUUUUUGCAAAAUCCAAAAUUAAUCUUGCACAAGCACAAGGACUGAGAUGUGUAUAAAUAUCUCUUAAAUUAGUAGCUAAUAUAUCGCACAUAUUAUUUAGACCAACUAGCAACAUAGAAAGCACAAUAGUGUACCAACAAUGGCAGCCAAAAUAUUUUGCCUCCUUAUGCUCCUUGGUAUUUCUGCAAGUGCUGCUACGGCGACCAUUUUCCCGCAAUGCUCACAAGCUCCUAUAGCUUCCCUUCUUCCCCCGUACCUCUCACCAGCGGUGUCUUCGGUAUGUGAAAACCCAAUUCUUCAACCCUACAGGAUCCAACAGGCAAUCGCAGCUGGCAUCUUACCUUUAUCACCCUUGUUCCUCCAACAAUCAUCAGCCCUAUUACAGCAGUUACCUUUGGUGCAUUUAUUGGCACAAAACAUCAGGGCACAACAACUACAACAACUUGUGCUAGCAAACCUUGCUGCCUACUCUCAGCAACAGCAGUUUCUUCCAUUCAACCAACUAGCUGCAUUGAACUCUGCUUCUUAUUUGCAACAACAACAACUACCAUUCAGCCAGCUACCUGUUGCCUACCCCCAGCAAUUUCUUCCAUUCAACCAACUGGCAGCAUUGAACUCUCCUGCUUAUUUACAGCAGCAACAACUACUACCAUUCAGCCAGCUAGCUGGUGUGAGCCCUGCUACCUUCUUGACACAACCACAGUUGUUGCCGUUCUACCAGCACGCUGCGCCUAACGCUGGCACCCUCUUACAACUGCAACAAUUGCUGCCAUUCAACCAACUUGCUUUGACAAACCUAGCAGUGUUCUACCAACAACCCAUCAUUGGUGGUGCCCUCUUUUAGAUUUCUUAUGAGUUAUAGUUCAAUAAUAAAGUUUUUUGUCUGAUGUUUGUGGCUUCCCAGAAAUAAGAAAGUACAUUUCUAGAUUCUUAUGUGCUUCUAGUCUCCAAAUGUGGUUGAUAGUUAUUUUGCUCUAAGAUCAGCAGUACAACAACAACAACAACAACAACAACAACAACAACAAAGCCUUUUUGUCCCAAGCACGUUGGGGUAGGCUAGAGAUGAAACCCCGUAUGAAAACCUCAGAGCUCAACCCCCAAAGAACAGAAAAGGGAAACAAAGGCAAAGGAGAACCGAAAACAACGAAACGGGGAAACACAUAAAAGAGAUAAAACCCACAAGGACCAGCAAGAUCUAAAAUGGACACAAGAAAAGGUCAAACGAUUAAGGAGGAAAAGCGAAACUAUCAAUCAGGGUUCUGGCACGUGAAUUGCACACUUCCACCCCUUCCUAUCUGCGGCGAGCUCUUUGUCAAUAUUCCACUCCUUCAGGUCUCUCUUCACAGCCUCUGUCCACGUCAAAGUUGGUCGACCUCUACCUCUCUUCACAUUUUCGGGACGCCUAAUUAUUCCGAUAUGCACUGGUGCCUCUUCAGGUCUUCGUUGGAUAUGUCCAAACCAUCUCAAGCGAUGUUGCAUAAGCUUCUCCUCAAUUGGCGCCACUCCUACUCUCUCUCGUAUAUCAUCAUUCCGGACUCGAUCUCUCCUUGUGUGGCCACAUAUCCAGCGCAACAUACGCAUCUCUGCCACACUUAGUUGUUGGACAUGUCGUCUUUUAGUGGGCCAACAUUCUGCUCCAUACAACAUAGCCGGCCGGAUUGCUGUCCUGUAGAAUUUGCCUUUUAGUUUGCGUGGCACCCGGUGGUCGCAUAAGACACCCGCAGCUUGUCGCCACUUCAACCAUCCGGCUUUAAUUCUAUGACUGACAUCCUCAUCGAUGUCUCCCUCCUUUUGAAGCAUUGAUCCUAAGUAACGAAAAGUGUCUUUCUUGGGUACCACUUGCCCAUCAAGACUAACAUCGCCAUCCUCAUACCCCAUGGCACUGAAAUCACACUUCAUAUACUCUGUUUUAGACCUACUAAGCCUAAAACCUUUUGCUUCCAGCGUCUGCCUCCACAAUUCCAACUUUUGAGAAACACCACUCCUACUCUCCUCAAUAAGUACCACAUCAUCGGCAAAAAGCAUACACCACGGUAAAACUCCUUGUAUGUCCCUUGUGACCUCAUCUAUCACCAAAGCGAAAAGAUAAGGGCUCAAAGCCGACCCUUGAUGUAGUCCUAUGUUAAUUGGAAAGUCAUCGGUGUCUCCAUCACUUGUUCGGACACUUGUCACAACAUUAGUGUACAUAUCUUUAAUAAGAUUAAUGUACUUUGUUGCUACUUUGUGUUUUUCCAAGGCCCACCACAUUACACUCCUAGGUACUUUGUCAUAAGCCUUCUCCAAGUCUAUGAAGACCAUAUGCAGGUCUUUCUUUUGUUCUCUGAAUCUCUCCAUAAGUUGUCUUAGUAAGAAAAUGGCCUCCAUAGUUGAUCUCCCGGGCAUGAAACCAAACUGAUUUUGGGUCACGCUCGUCAUCUUUCGCAGGCGGUGUUCAAUGACUCUCUCCCAUAGCUUCAUUGUAUGGCUCAUGAGCUUAAUUCCACGGUAAUUAGUACAACUUUGAACAUCUCCUUUGUUCUUGAAGAUUGGUACUAAUGUACUCCGCCGCCACUCGUCGGGCAUUCUGUUUGCCCGAAAGAUGGUGUUGAAAAGCUUAGUCAGCCAUACUAUCGCUAUGUCUCCAAGACAUCUCCAUACCUCGAUAGGGAUACCAUCAGGGCCCAUCGCCUUUCCUACCUUCAUCCUUUUUAGCGCCUCCUUAACUUCAUAUUCUUGUAUCCUUCGUACAAAACCCCUGUUGUUGUCAUCGAAUGGUUCGUCCAAUUCUAUUGUAGCACUCUCAUUCCCUCCAUUGAACAAUUUGUUGAAGUACUCCUUCCAUCUGUUCUUGAUCUCUUCACUCUUCACUAAUAGUUGGUUUGCUUCGUCCUUGAUGCAUUUGACUUGGUUGACAUCCCUUGUCUUCCUUUCACGAAUCUUGGCCAUCCUAUAGAUAUCCUUUUCUCCCUGCUUUGUGUCCAGCCGUUGAUAAAGGUCGUCAUAGGCUUGACCCCGGGCUCUACUAACCGCUCGCUUUGCAGACUUCUUCGCUAUCCUGUACUUCUCUAUGUUUUCUGCACACUUGUCAUGAUGUAAGCGUUUGUAGCAAUCUUUCUUCUCCUUGAUAGCCUUUUGGACAUCUUCGUUCCACCACCAAGUGUCUUUAACUUCCCUUCUGUUCCCUUGACUCAACCCAAACUCUUCUGAAGCUAUCUUUCGGAUGCAUGUCGCCAUCUUCCUCCACAUGAUAUUUGCGUCUUCCUCUCCUGCCCAAGGGCCCUCCUCGAUAACUCUCUUCUUGAAAGUUUGGGCCACAUCCCCUUUAAGCUUCCACCACUUUGUUCUAGUGACCUUGUUAUGCUUAUUUCGUUGUAAACGAAUCUUAAAACGGAAGUCAGCAACGACAAGCUUAUGUUGGGUUACCACACACUCUCCAGGUAUAACCUUGCAAUCUAAGCAGGCAUGCCUGUCCUCUUUUCUCAAGAGGACGAAAUCAAUCUGGCUAGUGUGUUGGCCACUACUGAAGGUCACCAGGUGGGAUUGCCUCUUCUUAAAGAAAGUGUUUGCUAUAAACAUGUCAUAGGCUAGGGCAAAGUUCAGGAUUUCCUCUCCUUCUUGAUUCCUAGUCCCAAAGCCGAAGCCUCCAUGUACACCCUCGAAACUGGUGCUAGAUGUACCCACAUGGCCAUUGAGAUCUCCUCCUAUGAAGAGCUUCUCGCCAACUGGCACACUACUAACCAUGUCCUCUAGGCCUUCCCAGAACUCUCUCUUUGAGUUCUCAUUAAGGCCUACUUGAGGAGCAUACGCGCUGAUAACAUUGAGAACCAAGUCUCCAAUGACCAGCUUGACUAGGAUGAUUCUAUCUCCUACCCUCUUAACAUCUACUACCCCAUCUUUGAGGCUCUUGUCGAUCAAGACGCCUACUCCAUUCUUGUUUGUUGCAGUCCCCGUGUACCACAACUUGAAACCUGUACCUUUCACUUCCUUCGCCUUCUGUCCCUUCCACUUGGUCUCUUGAACGCAUAAAAUAUUUACCCGUCUCCUCACCGCAACGUCAACUAUUUCUCGUAACUUACCUGUUAAGGAACCUACGUUCCAACUGCCUACACGGACCCUAGUUGGCUCGACUAGCUUCCUUACCCUUCGCACCCGCCGAGGAAGAUGCAAAGACCCUUGCUCAUUUUUCACUACACCCGGGCGCCGAUGUAGCGCGCCACUAAGGAUGCGACGACCCGAUCCUUGCUCACUUAUCACCGGCUCCAGAUCAAGAGACAGCGCGUCACUUGAGGGGUGACGACCCGGCCCUUGCUCAUUUAACACCAUACCCGGGUUCCGAUAUGGCGCGUCGCUAAGAGGGUUACGCCCCAACGGUUUUCUUUGUGGUUUCAUCUCCAUAAGAUUUGGCUGGUUUUUUACGUUGGUUUGCCGGACCUAACACAACCCUCCUCCUUUACCGGGCUUGGGACCGGCUAUGUUGAAACGACUCAAGGAAGUCUUCCAAUCAACAUAGGCGGAGUUUAAGAUCAGCAGUAAUGAAGUAUAAAUCAUCGUUGUGGUGUGCUACUCGGUUAAUUGAGCAUUAACACACACAAACAUGACGAGGAUGGUAUAAUCUCCCAAAAUGUGUACUUUGUUAGGUGGGACCCUAUAGCCUUGCAGAAUGUGCUACGUUAGGCAUGCCGAUGGAAACGUGUGACGCAUACGUUUUGUGAACCUGUUGAUAUUAUAUGUGCUUUUAUAUUACCAUAUUUUAUUAAAACACUAAUAUUUAUUACUAGUAAGAUAUAACAUUCUAUCUAGCUUAAAAACUAACCAUAAAUAUUCCAUAAUAACUAGAUUUACCAAACUAAUAUACUAAAUAUACAUAAUAAAUACAAAAUUAACAAGACAAUAAUCAAUAUUUAUGAGCUUAAUAUAUUUAGACAUUAUGGUUGGUCGACGAUAAUCAUGCUAACUUUCCGUAAUUGCUUGAUUGUAAAUAUGCUUAGACUAAUGCCUCUUUGUUCUACAUGGCAAAUAGGGACCACUCUAGGAGACUAGGAUGUUGCUUGAGAUGAAAAUGUCAGAAUUGGUGUAGACUAAUUUCUAUCGGCCGCUGACUUCACUAUUGUAACCAUUAUAUCUUGGGUAAAUUAUAUACGAUUAUCCAGCCAAAGGGCCCAGAUGAUAAAAAACAAUUUUUAAUUGCUAUUUUAGGACAAAUGAAUUAGCAUGGUUCGAAGGAUUACGACCUUCCCCCCAUGACCUUUGUCAUACUGCUUUAGUCUAAUCGACAAAACCAAGAUUAGUUAUCAUCGAAGAAGUUCAUAAGCGAAGUUGUGACGAUGAAAGGAACAUGGUGGUAAUUGGACGAACGACGACACCUUUGUCUAAGAAUGGCAUCUAGAAGAAAUCUCAGACAAAAUAAGACAUGAAUGGCUUGUCAGUACAGCGCAAAUACUGAAACAUGCGCCCUUGAAUAUGAAACAUUUAUAUGUAAGAGGAAGGGAUAAAAAAACUAAUUACUCGUGCCUAAUGAUUUUAUUGGGAAUUUUAAGGCGAGACUUAUGGCAAAGGGUUAUACCAAAAAUAGGGGAGAGAUUAUUUCGAUACUUAUUCACUUGUUUCCCUUCAAAUGGCCAUACAUGUGUUACUUUUUUUGGCUGCCUCGCAUGGUCUUAUCGUUCAUCAGAUGAAUGUUAAGACUGCUUUCCCAAAUGGAGAGCUUAAGGAACAGAUCUACAUUGACUAGCCUAGUGGUUUUAUAUCAAAUGGUAAAGAGGAAAAGGUGUUUAAAAUAAUUGUUUGGUUUAAAACAAGCACCAAAGCACAUGAGAAAAUCGAUAAAGUUCUGACUUUGGCUAAAUUUGUUGUAAAUGAAGUUGAUAAAUGUGUCCAUUACCAGUUUGACAGGGGCGAAGGUAUGACCUUUUUAUAUGUGGACAAAAUAUUAACCUUUUGUAACGAUGUUAAUAUGAUAGAAGAAGUAAAGUAAUUUUUGUCUAGUAACUUAGAAAUAAACAAUCUGGGAGAGGCUAAUGUUGUUCUUAACAAAGAGAUGUUGAGAGAAGGAGGAAAUAGAGGGUUACUCUUGUGCAAUCCUAUUAGGUUGAAAAGUCGCUGAGUCGCUUUGGAUAUAGUGAUUACACGUCUGGUCCAACAACUUAUGACCCAAGUGUGUUAUUAAGGAAAAAUCAUAUAAUUGCAUAUGAUCAAUUGAGAUAUUGUCAAAUCAUGGUCUUCUCAUAUAUUUGGCAAGCCCAACGAUGUCUCAUAUCUGAUUUGUUAUGAGCAAACUCAGUUGCCUUGUCUCCAAUCUAGGGGAGGAUCAUGACAUGCCCUAGAGAGGGUAUUGCGCUUUCUCAAAGGGAUAUGAGUAAUGUCAUUUACUAUACUAGGCACCUAAGAGUACCAGAGUGUUAUAGUCAUGCAAAUAGGAUAUCUGAUGUUGAUUAGAUUUAUGCCACAAGUAGACUUGUGUGCUUCCUUGGAGGUGUGAUUGUUUCAUGGAAGUCUUGUAAGUAGACCAUCUUAACAAGGUCAACAAUAGAAGUAGAACUCACAACAUUAUAUACUACCAAAGUUGAAGUUGAUUGGCUCCGUGAACUCCUUACGGAUUUACCAGUAGUUGAAAAACCAAUACUGGUUAUCUCUAUGAGCUACAAUAAUCAAACAUUUGUAAUCGAAGUAAACAGUUCUAAAGUUAACAUGAUGUCUACAAAGCAUGUAAAAAUGGUUGAAACUGUUAAAACACUAAGAAACUCUAGAUUAAUUAUGUUGGACUAUAUCCAUACAUCGAAUUUGGUAUGCCAGUUUACAGAAGAUUUGUCACAUAAUAUGAUUCAAGGUGCAUCGAGGAAUAUGGGCUUGAGACCCACUUAAUGUCAAUCCAUAGUGGUAGCAGUUUCUAUGUGAUUGGAGAUCCCAUAAAGUAGAAUGGUGAAACAAGCUAGAGAAUGACUGAUGGAGAGACUCCUUAAAUAAAAUCUUGAUAAUUUGAGAUGCACAUUUCUCAUUUGAUGUAUUGUAGGCGAACUAAAAUCUUAAUAUGAUUUGAGUGACUUAUCUAAGCAGGGAUGUUAUCUUACAGAACAUCCUAGAAAGAACACACCUAUAUGAGUUUGCAUGUUAGUCAUAGUCUAUCAUGUGUGGUAAUCUUUAUAUACUCAUGAAAGGCUUGAAGUUUGACUUAUAUGCUUCAAACCAAGGGGGUGCUUGUAACAGUCUAGUACAAGAUAAGAACAUUGGUAAAACUCACUUAACGCAAAAUUGUCAAUUUAAGGCAUAGUUCAUUGUUUAGAUGUGAAUGUGUAAUCCCUGUUCUAGAUGGAUGGUCAACUUAACAGCCUCCACCAAAACCCUGAUAUCUCAAAGAGUAGUGGAUUUGAGUUUGUCUAAUAUGUGGUUUAGAUUUUGGUGGGGAAUUUUAAUAUUUUAUGGGCUUGGCCCAUUUAAGGUAUUUAAUACUUUCAAAAGACAAGAUUAAACAUGUGUGAAUAGUGUCAUGAUUUUUUUCUAGUGCAAAAUAGCCCAACAAAUCAACACAUAUGUGGCUAUCAUUACACAUGUGUAAAGGUAAUGCAUCACACCAUUGUCACCCAUGUAUUUAGAAAAUACCAAGAAGAAAAACAACUUGUUUAUUGUAUUUUAUGGAGAUUAUCUUGCUUACAUAUAAUUAUAACCCAACAAAGUGGUCACUAAAUGUCAAAACCAACUAGGUACCAGGUCAUCUCUAGCUUAUCUUGCUAAUGAUAUUUUUGCAAAAUCCAAAAUUAAUCUUGCACAAGCACAAGGACUGAGAUGUGUAUAAAAAUCUCUUAGAUUAGUAGGUAAUCCAUCACACAAAGCGCAAUAGUGUAGCAAAACUGGCAGUCAAAAUAUUUUGCCUCCUUAUGCUCCUUGCUCUUUCUGCAAGUGCUGCUAACGCGACCAAUUUUCUGCAAUGCUCACAAGAUCCAAUUGCUUCCCUUCUUCCCUCAUACCUCUCACCAGCGACAUCUUCAGUAUGUGAAAACCCAAUUCUUCAACCCUAUAGGAUCCAACAGGCAAUCACAGCAAGCAUCUUACCUUUAUCACCCUUGUUCCUCCAACAACCGCCAGCCCUGUUACAACAAUUACCUUUGGUGCAUUUGUUGGAACAAAGCAUCAAGGCACAACAACUACAACAACCUGUGCUGACAAACCUUGUUGCCUACUCUCAGCAACAAUAGUUUCUUCCAUUCAACCAACUGGCUGCACUGAACUCUGCUGCUUAUUUGCAACAACAACAACAACUUCCAUUCACCCAGCUAGCUGCUGCCUACCCCCAACAAUUUCUUCCAUUCGACUAACUGGCUGCAUUGAACUCUGUUGCUUAUUUACAACAGCAACAACUAAUACCAUGAAACCAGCUAGCUGUUGCGAGCCCUGCUACCUUCUUGACACAACCACAGUUGAUGUCGUUCUACCUGCAAGCUGUGGCUAACGUCGGCACCCUCUUACAACUACAACAAUUGUUGCCAUUCAUCCAACUUGCUUUGACAAAC
RNAcentral lists this long non-coding RNA (12353 nucleotides) under Zea mays. RNAcentral's name for it is "long non-coding RNA (ZMAY_LNC002145)". Lineage: Eukaryota; Viridiplantae; Streptophyta; Magnoliopsida; Poales; Poaceae. The record is from RNAcentral.